This 422-nucleotide ribosomal RNA is filed under the name Badhamia alpina. RNAcentral's name for it is "SSU rRNA". It matches the Rfam family "Eukaryotic small subunit ribosomal RNA", at positions 1230 to 1644 of the family's 1831-position model. Lineage: Eukaryota; Evosea; Eumycetozoa; Physariida; Physaraceae. The record is from RNAcentral.
ACACGUAUGAAGGUCAAGCUGAAAGACUUUACUCAAUGAUGUAAGUGGUGGUGCAUGGUCGUUCUUAGUUCGUGGAUUGAUUUGUCUGGUCUAUUCCGAUAACGAGCGAGACCCCGCCGUUCCUAAUAGGGGCGGUAGCCCGCUGGCCGAAAGGCCUGCAGCUGCCGCUUAAGAUUAACUUCUUAGACGUAUCAGAGCCGAUAAGGUUCUUGAAAUGGGUUAAUAACAGGUCAGUCAUGCCCUUAGAUGUUCUGGGCCGCACGCGCGUUACAAUGGCAUGUAUAGCGCGUGCUUGAAAAGGCGUCUCCGGGGCCGAAAGGUCCUGGUAACCCUUAAUCCCUGCCUUGACUGGGAUAGAUCUUUGCAAUUAUUGGUCUCCAACGAGGAAUUUUUAGUAGUCGUAGGUCAUUAACCUACGACGA